GCCAGCGUAGCUCAGUGGUAGAGCAGGCGCCUUGUAAGCGUCAGGUCGUGGGUUCAAAUCCCACCGCUGGCU
RNAcentral lists this transfer RNA (72 nucleotides) under Patescibacteria group bacterium. Its description in RNAcentral is "tRNA-Thr". It matches the Rfam family "tRNA". From Rfam's summary of the family: Transfer RNA (tRNA) molecules are approximately 80 nucleotides in length. RNAcentral also lists the same sequence under 2 other names. The record is from RNAcentral.